RNAcentral lists this long non-coding RNA (2778 nucleotides) under Sus scrofa (pig). RNAcentral's name for it is "lncRNA (ENSSSCG00060060349.1)". Lineage: Eukaryota; Metazoa; Chordata; Mammalia; Artiodactyla; Suidae. The record is from RNAcentral.
CAGUCUUUGUCACUUUUUCCUCCAGGCUACCCUGUCUCUGUGCCCCAGUUCCUGCUCCUUCUCAUCUUGUUUUCGUCCCCCUCUUAUGGGUCCUUUAACAUAUGACAGCAUUUUAUUUAUUGUAUUUGUUAUCUUAUAGUAUGAACUCCACUGGGGCAAGCAUUUUAGCUCGUUUGGUUUAUGAUGUAUCUAAAGUGCAAAGAGCAAUGCCCGGUACAUGACAAACAUUACAUGCAGAUUAUUGAUUGAAAAGAAUUUGCUGAUUUAUUCAACAGGCACAAAUUGAAUAUUUGCUGUGCACUUGGCCUUAUGCUAGGUGCUGAGGUAAAAUGAUGAGGACAGUCAGAUGUGGCUUCUGCUGUCAGGCAGCUUAGAGCCUGAUGGCGAAUCAGAGGCAUUAACCCAAACCCCAGAACAAGCCUGGAGAAGCAGAUAUCAAUGUCUCCUGCUGCCGGACAUGGCUGUGUGGCCCAGUUUUGGACAAUGAGAGGUAAAGAGAGGUCUUUCAAAGGUUUCUGGGAAGGAGAGUCCUCUUCUAGAUAAGGAAUAAGAGUGGAAAUUGUUCUAUACUGCUUCCAGUUUCCUGUCUUUGAGGAUAUGUAACUUAGAGUUCAUGUGAAAUAGCAUCCCUUGCUGCCAUCAGGAAAUACUGAGAACCUCAGCGUCACCAACCCAAGACCUGACACUGCUAAACUUCUGAAUCAAGGCCAAAAACUGCCUCCCUUUUCCAUAAGAAAAUUGAGUCUUUCAUUAAGCCAGUAUUUGGUUAUUUGAUAUAUGCAGUCAAAAGAAUUCCUGACAGAUACGGUAUAAUACCAGGCAUGUUUCCACUCCUGGCUUUAUUUUAAUCUUUAAGGUUUGAGAAAAAAUGCCCGUCACUCCAUUUUCUGGCUCAGGGUAUGGGCUAAGAUGGUAACAUGGCGAAAUUUAUUGUAUUUGUUUUCUCAAUUUCCAUUGCUUCUUCUUGGUGAUAUUAUCCUGAUUUCUCCUCAGGAGGCUGGCCCUCUCUCUUUCUCAGACCUUAGGGCUUAAUGGCAUUGAUCCUACCCUGACAACCCUAAGGUCUGAGACAGAGAGCAUGGCAAAUCAGAGUAUUGUACUCCAGUGACAUUGUGACUGUUUCAGAGGUAGGACCAAGAAACAGAGAGUGAGAUUAGAUCUUGAUGGCAGAAGUCAAGCCCCUUUACUGAGAUAAACCUGAGGCCUUGUCUAAAUCCAGAAAUUAGUAGGUGAGAAAAAUCUAUUCUCUUUGUCAUGUGUAGUUUGAGUUAAAUUCUUGCAAUUCCAGCAACCAAAAGAGGACUGACUUCUAAAAUCCUGCCACUAGAACCACUGCAUUUUCAUCAUCAGUGGCAUCUGUGUUGAAAUGUUCUAACAGAAGCUUGGCACAGAUCAAAAAUGCUAUAAAGGGAAUUCCAGCUCUAAGUAGGAAACUAAAGUAAAUUACUACUAAGGUCUCUUUCAAUUCUCAAAUUAUAUGAUACUAUAAACACCCCAUGUCUAUGUGGGAGACUAUGGCAAUGGGAAGUUUGCAGUGCCUUAAGAAAUGGUGAGCAGUCUGCAUUUGCGUAGUAUAUUCCUGAUGAAUGUACUAUGCUAGAUGAAUUGAAGGGAUUGUGGGGAUUUUAGUAUUAUGGAAAUAACAUCAGACUGUUAGUCUGGAAGCAUAGAUUCUGAUUCCAUUUCAGAACAGGGUCCCACUUUAAACCUUGGCUAGCUAGAUUGAUUUAAGCAAGUCCUUAAUCCACUGGUAACUAAAAAAAAAAUCGUUUGUUAAGUGGGAAUGCAAUUUCAUGGUUGAAAAGAAACUUUGGGAGGAGAAAAAUGUAGUGGCAGGGAAAUGUUUAUGGAGGAUCUACUGGGGAUCAAGCAUUGUGAUAGAGCUUUAUCUUUAAUUAUUUUGUUUAAUAAACAAAGUGCAGAACAUGUUAUAAACCCAAUUUUUCAGAUGAAGUAAUAGAAACUUAGGUAAGUUAAUUAAAUUUACCAGGAUUAUACAGCCUAUGGAUGGAUGAGCUAGGCUUUAAAAGUUGUUUCUAAGGUCAAAGACUGAGUUCAUAGUUACCAUACCAGUCUAGUUCAAACUCCUUAUUUUAUAGAGAAGCUUCAGCCUGAACAAUGGAUGGGUGACAAAUCUGGUACUAGCCUAUUUCCAGGUUUCCUUACACUCUGCUAAUUAUAUCUGCCAUGCCUGUCCCAUUGAAAUGAUUGUUUGAAAUCAGACAAUGGCCAGGAAAGUGAUUUGAAGGGUGUUAUGUGCUAUACAAUAUCAUUUAGAACCCUGAACUUGAAAGCUCUCAGGUCUCUUUCUAUCUUUUUUGCUUUGUCAUUAGUCUUUGCUUCUCUCUGUGGGCUUUUUUCUUUCUUUUAGGCUGGUUAUCUCAGUGAGACUGGCACCAUAGCAAUCAUUAAAUCCUGGGCUCAUAUCUUCUCAACCUUCCACCCAGAAGAAUUGGCUUAAACGAAUGUAGAGGCUUAUUUGUCUCACAUGACAGGAAACACAGCUAUAGGCAACAGCUAGAGUUGACUUAAUAGCUCUAGGAUGCCAAGGAAAGCAUUUCAGUUAUUCAUUCUUAAAUUUGUUUAAGCUAAUAAUAGUUUUUCUGUGACCUGGAGUUGCACCUGAGUUAAACUGAGCAACUGCUGGAACAUGGUAAUUGGCCCAGGUGUAGGCACUUGACCCAAGUCAGAUUAGACCCAGUUCUCGAGGAACUUCUGAAAGUGAGCUGUAAAGAAAAAAAAAAAAAUUCCUCCAUGUCACAUGGCUACACUUAGCUG